AGGCAACAAAAAGGGAAAUAAGAGUCGGUCGAUGGCGCCCCCUGUGCAGUGGCUGCAAACAGCAGCCUCCUGGGUAGUGUUUGCAGCCUGUUGCUUAUAUAGGCUGCCCUAAGGGACCCUGGAGACAGCC
This is a small nucleolar RNA of Erinaceus europaeus (western European hedgehog), 130 nucleotides long. Its record names the gene SNORA70. It matches the Rfam family "Small nucleolar RNA SNORA70". Rfam says of the family: snoRNA U70 seems to be exclusive to mammals and is a member of the H/ACA class of snoRNA which contain H (ANANNA) and ACA box motifs. H/ACA box snoRNAs are involved in the conversion of uridines to pseudouridines (5-ribosyluracil) a constituent of structural RNAs (transfer, ribosomal, small nuclear, and small nucleolar). Lineage: Eukaryota; Metazoa; Chordata; Mammalia; Eulipotyphla; Erinaceidae. The record is from Ensembl.